This 517-nucleotide ribosomal RNA is filed under the name uncultured bacterium. Its description in RNAcentral is "partial 16S ribosomal RNA". It matches the Rfam family "Bacterial small subunit ribosomal RNA", at positions 28 to 523 of the family's 1533-position model. The record is from RNAcentral.
GACGAACGCUGGCGGCGUGCCUAAUACAUGCAAGUCGAGCGGACCGAACGAGGGCUUGCUCUUGUUUGGUCAGCGGCGGACGGGUGAGUAACACGUGGGCAACCUGCCCGCAAGACCGGGAUAACUCCGGGAAACCGGAGCUAAUACCGGAUAACACCGAAGACCGCAUGGUCUUCGGUUGAAAGGCGGCCUUUGGGCUGUCACUUGCGGAUGGGCCCGCGGCGCAUUAGCUAGUUGGGUAGGUAACGGCUCACCAAGGCGACGAUGCGUAGCCGGCCUGAGAGGGUGACCGGCCACACAGGGACUGAGACACGGCCCAGACUCCUACGGGAGGCAGCAGUAGGGAAUCUUCCGCAAUGGGCGAAAGCCUGACGGAGCGACGCCGCGUGAGCGAAGAAGGCCUUCGGGUCGUAAAGCUCUGUUGUGAGGGACGAAGGAGCGCCGUUCGAAGAGGGCGGCGCGGUGACGGUACCUCACGAGAAAGCCCCGGCUAACUACGUGCCAGCCGCCGCAGUAA